CCUUAGAUGUUCUGGGCCGCACGCGCGCUACACUGACAGGGCCAACGAGUUCUAACCUUGGCCGAGAGGUCUGGGUAAUCUUGUUAAACCCUGUCGUGCUGGGGAUAGAGCAUUGCAAUUAUUGCUCUUCAACGAGGAAUAUCUAGUAAGCGCAAGUCAUCAGCUUGCGUUGAUUACGUCCCUGCCCUUUGUACACACCGCCCGUCGCUACUACCGAUUGAAUGGCUCAGUGAGGCCUUCGGACUGGCUCAGGGAGGUCGGCAACGACCACCCAGAGCCGGAAAGUUGGUCAAACUUGGUCAUUUAGAGGAAGUAAAAGUCGUAACAAGGUUUGAAUAAUGAUUCUUCUUCAGUGACGCUUAUGAGAAGCCUUUGCAGCCCCGCAAGGGGCACCUAAACGACUCAAAAUAUUUAUAGGUGUUAAAUUGCAAGUCAGCACCAGCUGGCGACACUUUCGAAUUGCGGGGAAUCCCUAAAGCUCAGAACUACCAACCAUCUGUGGAAACUCAGUUGGGGCUCAUGGUAACGACAUGAGGUGAGGUAAUAAGGUUCUGAGAUAAAUAGUAUGGGUAAUCCGCAGCCAAGGCCCUAAAACCUUUAGUCAUGGGCCAGGUUCACAGACUAAGUGGAAGUGGGUUGAACUUAACCAUUCAGCUUAAGAUAUAGUCGGGCCUAUUGAGAAAUCUUUAGGGAGUCACAUAUGACACAAAUUCUGAUCCAAGUGACAAUAAAUGAGAUUUUGUCCUGGAGGUUCAUAGCGAACCUUAAACCCUGAAUUUUUAACUGUUCCGUAGGUGAACCUGCGGAAGGAUCAUUACAGUAUUUUAUAUACAAACAAGGCGCCCUCUGUCCUGUGGCUUUAUAAAGCCGCGGGAUACUGGCUACUUUUAAACCCUCUGUGAACCUACCUCACUUAUGCCUCGGCAGCCUAGCCGCCGCCUCCGCGGCCGGCUCUGUAAGCCUGCCAGGCCCCCAAUUUAUAAACUUGUUUUUAAAAUUACGUCUGAGCCAUUCUGAACUGAAUGAAAAUUAAAACUUUCAACAACGGAUCUCUUGGUUCUCGCAUCGAUGAAGAACGCAGCGAAACGCGAUAGUUAAUGUGAAUUGCAGAAUUCAGUGAAUCAUCGAGUCUUCGAACGCACAUUGCGCCCGUUGGUAUUCCGACGGGCACGUCUGUUUGAGCGUCAUGUCAUAACUCAACCGCCAGGUUGGUGCUGGGCUCGGGCAUCCCCCAAAAGGGAACCCGGCCUUAAAGUGGCAGCUCUGCGGGCCCGCCCCUCCCCGAACAUAGUACAAAAAGCUUGCUCGAGGGAGCCGGCGCGGUCGCCGCCUGAACAAACUAUUAACCAAAGGUUUGACCUCAGAUCAGACGAGGAUACCCGCUGAACUUAAGCAUAUCAAUAAGCGGAGGAAAAGAAACCAACAGGGAUUGCCUCAGUAACGGCGAGUGAAGCGGCAAGAGCUCAAAUUUGAAAUCUGGCGCAAGCCCGAGUUGUAAUUUGAAGAGGAUGCCUCGGUUGCGGCCACAGCCCAAGUCUCUUGGAACAGAGCGUCAUGGAGGGUGAGAAUCCCGUCCGGCUGUCGGCUCACGCCGUGUGUGGCUCCUUCGAAGAGUCGAGUUGUUUGGGAAUGCAGCUCAAAAUGGGUGGUAGAUUUCCAUCUAAAGCUAAAUAUUGGCGAGAGACCGAUAGCGCACAAGUAGAGUGAUCGAAAGAUGAAAAGCACUUUGAAAAGAGAGUUAAACAGUACGUGAAAUUGUUGAAAGGGAAGCGCUUGCGAUCAGACUCGCCUGCGGUUGAUCAACGUUCCUUCUGGUUCGUGCACUCUUCCGUCGGCGGGCCAGCAUCGGUUGGGACGGCGGGACAAAGGCGCCGGGAAUGUGGCUCCUCGGAGUGUUAUAGCCCGGUGUGCAAUGCCGCCAGCCCCGACCGAGGUCCGCGCUUCGGCUAGGAUGCUGGCUUAAUGGUCGUAAGCGAC
This 1977-nucleotide ribosomal RNA is filed under the name Orbilia leucostigma. Its description in RNAcentral is "eukaryotic LSU rRNA". The stretch from base 1356 to 1977 matches the Rfam family "Eukaryotic large subunit ribosomal RNA", at positions 1 to 648 of the family's 3401-position model. Lineage: Eukaryota; Fungi; Ascomycota; Orbiliomycetes; Orbiliales; Orbiliaceae. The record is from RNAcentral.